CGUGAUUUGGCGGGAGUCUUGACCGCCGCCGGGCUCUUGGUACCUCAGCGCGAGCGCCAGGCGUCCGGCCGCCGUGGCUAUGUUCGUGUCCGAUUUCCGCAAAGAGUUCUACGAGGUGGUCCAGAGCCAGAGGGUCCUUCUCUUCGUGGCCUCGGACGUGGAUGCUCUGUGUGCGUGCAAGAUCCUUCAGGCCUUGUUCCAGUGUGACCACGUGCAAUAUACGCUGGUUCCAGUUUCUGGGUGGCAAGAACUUGAAACUGCAUUUCUUGAGCAUAAAGAACAGUUUCAUUAUUUUAUUCUCAUAAACUGUGGAGCUAAUGUAGACCUAUUGGAUAUUCUUCAACCUGAUGAAGACACUAUAUUCUUUGUGUGUGACACCCAUAGGCCAGUCAAUGUCAUCAAUGUAUACAACGAUACCCAGAUCAAAUUACUCAUUAAACAAGAUGAUGACCUUGAAGUUCCCGCCUAUGAAGACAUCUUCAGGGAUGAAGAGGAGGAUGAAGAGCAUUCAGGAAAUGACAGCGAUGGGUCAGAGCCUUCUGAGAAGCGCACACGGUUAGAAGAGGAGAUAGUGGAGCAAACCAUGCGGAGAAGGCAGCGGCGAGAGUGGGAGGCCCGGAGAAGAGACAUCCUCUUUGACUACGAGCAGUAUGAAUAUCAUGGGACAUCGUCAGCCAUGGUGAUGUUUGAGCUGGCUUGGAUGCUGUCCAAGGACCUGAAUGACAUGCUGUGGUGGGCCAUCGUUGGACUAACGGACCAGUGGGUGCAAGACAAGAUCACUCAAAUGAAAUACGUGACUGAUGUUGGUGUCCUGCAGCGCCACGUUUCCCGCCACAACCACAGGAACGAGGAUGAGGAGAACACACUCUCCGUGGACUGCACACGGAUCUCCUUUGAGUAUGACCUCCGCCUGGUGCUCUACCAGCACUGGUCCCUCCAUGACAGCCUGUGCAACACCAGCUAUACCGCAGCCAGGUUCAAGCUGUGGUCUGUGCAUGGACAGAAGCGGCUCCAGGAGUUCCUUGCAGACAUGGGUCUUCCCCUGAAGCAGGUGAAGCAGAAGUUCCAGGCCAUGGACAUCUCCUUGAAGGAGAAUUUGCGGGAAAUGAUUGAAGAGUCUGCAAAUAAAUUUGGGAUGAAGGACAUGCGCGUGCAGACUUUCAGCAUUCAUUUUGGGUUCAAGCACAAGUUCCUGGCCAGCGACGUGGUCUUUGCCACCAUGUCUUUGAUGGAGAGCCCCGAGAAGGAUGGCUCAGGCACAGAUCACUUCAUCCAGGCUCUGGACAGCCUCUCCAGGAGUAACCUGGACAAGCUGUACCAUGGCCUGGAACUCGCCAAGAAGCAGCUGCGAGCCACCCAGCAGACCAUUGCCAGCUGCCUUUGCACCAACCUCGUCAUCUCCCAGGGGCCUUUCCUGUACUGCUCUCUCAUGGAGGUCAGGCUUCCCACAGAGCACAGGCUCCUGGUCACAGCACCAGUGGCUUCGUCUGACCAUCUGUCUCGCCUCCGCAGGGCACUCCAGAUGUCAUGCUGUUCUCUAGGCCGGCAUCCCUAAGCCUGCUCAGCAAACACCUGCUCAAGUCCUUUGUGUGUUCGGUCACGGAAAGCGGGAUGGUUGUAGCACCGACUGGCUUCCCAGCAACAGCUUGUCCACUAGGCUGAUUUCCUGUGCCUGGCUUUGUCUUCUGUGUGGCCUAACCCCCUCUUUGCGUUGGCGUGGAACACACUCCUAACUUGGCUGGCUUUAGGGCAGGGGUCCUCACCUAGCCGACAUGGGGCUCCUCCCAGAUGUGACAUGUCAAUAAUUGAAGUCCUCCUCUGCUUCGAGGAUGAGAGUUUAUGCUGGGGGCUAUUUCAAACGAAAUGUGCUAACAGGAAGUUGAACUUUUCUUUUGCCGCUGAACUAACCAGUAAAAUGAUGACAGAUGACAUGUGUUCUAUCAACCAGACAAAGAACCGGCGCUGCAAACUGCUUCCCCUGGUGAUGGCUGCCCCCCUGAGCGUCGAGCAUGGCACAGUGACCGUGGUGGGCAUCCCCCCAGAGACCGACAGCUCGGACAGGAAGAACUUUUUUGGGAGGGCGUUUGAGAAGGCAGCGGAAAGCACCAGCUCCCGGAUGCUGCACAACCAUUUUGACCUCUCAGUAAUUGAGCUGAAAGCUGAGGAUCGGAGCAAGUUUCUGGACGCACUAAUUUCCCUCCUGUCCUAGGAAUUUGAUUCUUCCGGAAUGACCUUCUUAUUUAUGUAACUGGCUUUCAUUUAGAUUGUAAGUUAUGGACAUGAUUUGAGAUGUAGAAGCCAUUUUUUAUUAAAUAAAAUGCUUAUUUUAGGCUCUGUC
Molecule: RNA transcript, 2338 nt
Organism: Pan troglodytes (chimpanzee)
Lineage: Eukaryota; Metazoa; Chordata; Mammalia; Primates; Hominidae
Gene: CDC45
Gene name: cell division cycle 45
Exons: 19
Source: RefSeq, a predicted model, not a curated record